UCCUCGAUGGCGCAAUCGGCAGCGCGGGUGGCUGUUAACCACUAGGUUCGAGGUUCGAGUCCUCGUCGAGGAGCCA
Molecule: transfer RNA, 76 nt
Filed under: Synergistes sp. 3_1_syn1
Lineage: Bacteria; Thermotogati; Synergistota; Synergistia; Synergistales; Synergistaceae
Also listed under: 15 other names
Description: tRNA-Asn
Rfam family: tRNA
About the family: Transfer RNA (tRNA) molecules are approximately 80 nucleotides in length. Their secondary structure includes four short double-helical elements and three loops (D, anti-codon, and T loops).
Source: RNAcentral